Molecule: ribosomal RNA, 328 nt
Filed under: uncultured prokaryote
Description: bacterial SSU rRNA
Rfam family: Bacterial small subunit ribosomal RNA
Source: RNAcentral
AGAUUGAACGCUGGCGGCAUGCUUUACACAUGCAAGUCGAACGGCAGCACGGGGGCAACCCUGGUGGCGAGUGGCGAACGGGUGAGUAAUGCAUCGGAACGUAUCCUUGAGUGGGGGGUAACGCAGCGAAAGUUGUGCUAAUACCGCAUAAGCUCUGAGGAGGAGAGCGGGGGACCGAAAGGCCUCGCGCUGAAGGAGCGGCCGAUGUCCGAUUAGCUAGUUGGUGAGGUAAAGGCUUACCAAGGCGACGAUCGGUAGCUGGUCUGAGAGGAUGAUCAGCCACACUGGGACGUGAGACACGGCCCACGACUCCUACCGGGAGGGCAGC